UGCAGUCGAACGGCAGCGCGGGGCAACCUGGCGGCGAGUGGCGAACGGGUGAGUAAUACAUCGGAACGUACCCAGAAGUGGGGGAUAACGUAGCGAAAGUUACGCUAAUACCGCAUACGAUCUACGGAUGAAAGUGGGGGACCUUCGGGCCUCAUGCUUUUGGAGCGGCCGAUGUCUGAUUAGCUAGUUGGUGAGGUAAAGGCUCACCAAGGCGACGAUCAGUAGCUGGUCUGAGAGGACGACCAGCCACACUGGAACUGAGACACGGUCCAGACUCCUACGGGAGGCAGCAGUGGGGAAUUUUGGACAAUGGGCGCAAGCCUGAUCCAGCAAUGCCGCGUGAGUGAAGAAGGCCUUCGGGUUGUAAAGCUCUUUUGUCAGGGAAGAAACGGCUGAGGCUAAUAUCCUCGGCUAAUGACGGUACCUGAAGAAUAAGCACCGGCUAACUACGUGCCAGCAGCCGCGGUAAUACGUAGGGUGCAAGCGUUAAUCGGAAUUACUGGGCGUAAAGCGUGCGCAGGCGGUUUUGUAAGUCUGAUGUGAAAUCCCCGGGCUCAACCUGGGAAUUGCAUUGGAGACUGCAAGGCUAGAAUCUGGCAGAGGGGGGUAGAAUUCCACGUGUAGCAGUGAAAUGCGUAGAGAUGUGGAGGAACACCGAUGGCGAAGGCAGCCCCCUGGGUCAAGAUUGACGCUCAUGCACGAAAGCGUGGGGAGCAAACAGGAUUAGAUACCCUGGUAGUCCACGCCCUAUACGAUGUCUACUAGUUGUC
Molecule: ribosomal RNA, 770 nt
Filed under: Massilia sp. 1-2
Lineage: Bacteria; Pseudomonadati; Pseudomonadota; Betaproteobacteria; Burkholderiales; Oxalobacteraceae
Also listed under: 1 other name
Description: bacterial SSU rRNA
Rfam family: Bacterial small subunit ribosomal RNA
Source: RNAcentral